UACGUAGGGUGCGAGCGUUAUCCGGAAUUAUUGGGCGUAAAGAGCUCGUAGGCGGUGUGUCACGUCGGCCGUGAAAACCUGCAGCUUAACUGUGGGCGUGCGGUCGAUACGGGCAUCACUGGAGUUCGGCAGGGGAGACUGGAAUUCCUGGUGUAGCGGUGAAAUGCGCAGAUAUCUGGAGGAACACCGGUGGCGAAGGCGGCAUCCUGGACCGGUAUUGACGCUGAGGCGCGAAAGCCAGGGGAGCAAACGGG
Molecule: ribosomal RNA, 254 nt
Filed under: uncultured bacterium
Lineage: Bacteria
Description: partial 16S ribosomal RNA
Rfam family: Bacterial small subunit ribosomal RNA
Source: RNAcentral